RNAcentral lists this ribosomal RNA (465 nucleotides) under Vreelandella stevensii. RNAcentral's name for it is "partial 16S ribosomal RNA". It matches the Rfam family "Bacterial small subunit ribosomal RNA", at positions 338 to 795 of the family's 1533-position model. The record is from RNAcentral. Lineage: Bacteria; Pseudomonadati; Pseudomonadota; Gammaproteobacteria; Oceanospirillales; Halomonadaceae.
CCUACGGGGGGCAGCAGUGGGGAAUAUUGGACAAUGGGGGGAACCCUGAUCCAGCCAUGCCGCGUGUGUGAAGAAGGCCCUCGGGUUGUAAAGCACUUUCAGUGAGGAAGAACGCCUGGUGGUUAAUACCCAUCAGGAAAGACAUCACUCACAGAAGAAGCACCGGCUAACUCCGUGCCAGCAGCCGCGGUAAUACGGAGGGUGCGAGCGUUAAUCGGAAUUACUGGGCGUAAAGCGCGCGUAGGUGGCUUGAUAAGCCGGUUGUGAAAGCCCCGGGCUCAACCUGGGAACGGCAUCCGGAACUGUCAAGCUAGAGCGCAGGAGAGGAAGGUAGAAUUCCCGGUGUAGCGGUGAAAUGCGUAGAGAUCGGGAGGAAUACCAGUGGCGAAGGCGGCCUUCUGGACUGACACUGACACUGAGGUGCGAAAGCGUGGGUAGCAAACAGGAUUAGAUACCCUAGUAGUC